This is a long non-coding RNA of Hemicordylus capensis (graceful crag lizard), 2886 nucleotides long. RefSeq lists it as uncharacterized. The transcript is spliced from 3 exons. NCBI's taxonomy places the organism in Eukaryota, Metazoa, Chordata, Lepidosauria, Squamata, Cordylidae. The record is from RefSeq and is a predicted model, not a curated record.
CUCCCCUUCGCCUUGUGCGGGGGGGGAGGGAGUUUGUCUCAGCCACCCUGGACAUGAGGCCCUAGAAGUGGCCUGAUUGGCCAAUUUGCAAAAAGGGGCGUGGUUUCGGCUGCAGCACGGUCGAUCCACGCCUCUACUCUUCAGUUCUUUUCAGGAUCUGCAUGAGGAAGGAGCUCUUUACUUGGGCUCCUUCCACUUAGGCCUGGGGAGGGUUCGCCCAGGAGCGGGUGUGGCAGUUCUCCAGCGGGUUCCUUCAGGUCCCGCUGUGCAGGGCAUUAGGUAGACAAGUCUCCAGGCUUUGCAAAAUACCAGCGGGGCUCUGUGGCCUGUGGGCCCGAUCGCAGCCUUCUCCAGUGUCCUGUUCCGGCAUCUGCAUCACGACAGGGCUUUGGCCCUUUGGUUUGUUGCAGGCCCGGGAGGGCCGUGGGGUGGGGCAUUUUGCAAGUUUUUCUACAGCUUUCUUAGCUCUCCUGAUCUUUGGAAGGGGUUUCUGGCUGCUUUUGGGGGCCUUGUUGUGAGGGGUUGUUGCUGGGCUUUCGAGUUGGCUUCUGGGGUUUUUUCCUUGAGCUUUGGUAUUCCCUGGGGGUGGCUAAGGUUUUUUCCCUUCGUGCAAACCUCUCCCACAUCCAUAGGGUUGCUCUGUAGAGCAAGAAUUGGGGGUUGGCUUCUCCUUCUAAUAUUGGUUGAGGGCUUGUGGGUGUUUUCACGAUGCCCAGGAAAGCUAAGGAGAAAAAGAGUGGGAAGCCUGUUAGGCAGCCCAAAGGCCCCCCCCCUUCUUCCUUGGAUGAGGAUGAUGAAGAAAUGGCCCUUAUUAGGGGCUUGAUUGGUAGGAUGGAGGCCUUGGAGAAGUCUCGCAGCGCUCCUUCUGAUAAGGGUGCUGGUCCUUCUGGCGGGGUGGUGGUGUCCCUCCUCCCAAGGUGCCUCGCAGGACCAGGAGGGCUGCCCGGAAUCAGCUUUUAAAAUCACUCUCUAGUAGGUUGGAGGCGUUGGAAAAGGGAGGGGGCAGCCGGCCCGGCUCCUCCCUCAGGUCCGCAAGAUCCAUCCAUGCCUGAUGACCUGGUUCCUGGAAGGCCUGCUCCCGUGGCUCCAUUGCCGUCGCCUGAGGACCCGGCUCCUGUGCUGCCUGCUCCGUCGCUUCCACUGCCUGCUGCGCCGGUUGAACCUCCGCCUGUGGACCCUCGAGUACCGGUGGCUCCGGGUAAAGUUGCUCGCAUCCAUGCUGAUUUGGACUCCAGAGUUUUGGCAGUUUCAGCAGACGUGCCUCAGGAUAAUGGACUGAAACUGCCUUGGUCGCUCUAGAGGACAAUCUAUGCCUGGAGCUAGACAGGGGAGUGCAUCCCUAUUGAUUCUGCUGGACCUCUCAAAGGCAACUGAUUCCAUCAACAAUGGUUUCCUUCUGGACCACCUAUCAAGUAUAGGAAUUGGAGGUGUUCCUUUGGAGUGGCUUUGGUCCUUUCUUCAGGGGAGGGACCAGAAGGUGGUGCUGGAGGACUACUGCUUGGCUCUGUGGCCAUUGGUCUGUGGAGUUCUGCAGGGUUAGGUUUUGUCCCCCAUGCUGUUUAACAUCUACAUGAAACCUCUAGGAAAGUUCAUCUGGGGACUUGGACUGAGUUGUCAGCAAUAUGCAGAUGACACUCAGCUCUAUCUCUCCUUGUCACCUGAUCCGAGGGAGGCAGUGGGUGUCCUGAAUUAGGGCUUGGAAGCCGUGAUGGGUUGGAUGUGUGCUAAUUAACAGAGAUUGAAUUCAGACAAAACAGAGGUAAUAAAAGAGCCCAUUGGGUUGAGGAAAUUCUGUUGGUUCUGGAUGGAGUUGCACUCCCCUUGGAAGAGCAAGUACACUGCUUGGGGUUAUUGCUGGACCCGGCUCUGCUUUUGGAAGGUCACGUUGGAGCAGUAUCCAGGGGUGUCUUUGUACAGCUUCGGCUAGUGUGCCAGCUGAGACCCUUUCUCAAGAAGGUAGAUCUGGCCACAAUUACUCAUGCCUUAGUCACGUCAUGGCUCGAUUACUGUAACACUCUCUACAUGGGGCUGCCCUUGAAGAAUAUUCAGAAAUUCAGAAUGUUUUUGCAGCUAGUGGCAGCUAGUAUUUUAUCAGGAGCUGCCCUUUGGGAUAACAUCACACCCAUUUUGAAAGAACUGCACUGGCUGCCAAUUUGUUUCGGGAUCCAAUUCAAGGUGCUAGUUUUGACCUUUAAAGCCCUUAACAGUUUGCAUCCUAGAUACCUGAUGGACUGCCUGCUCCCAAAGGUUGCUGCCCACUUGAUAAAGUCUUCUGGGUGGGUGGGGCUCUGCUCCAGGUGACAACAAUGAGGGAGACUCAGCUCUCAUACAUGCGGGACAGGGCCUUCUCAGUUGUUGGCCCCUGACUCUGGAAUGCUCUCCCAGUGGCCAAUCAUUCCUUAGUCUCCAUCAUAGUUUUUCAAAAGUGUGUGAAAUUUUGGGUUUUUGACCAGGCUUUUAAAUGAUUGUUCCUACUGGGGAAUAGGAAUAUGAUUAUUCCUAUUGGGGAUUAUUGGCCAAAAUACAAGGUCUUGGUUAUAAACCAUAAAGCCCUAAACAGCUUGGGCUCUGGGUAUUUAAGAGAAAGUCUUCUUUGCUAUGAACCUCACCACCCACUGAGAUCAUCAUGAGAGGUUUGUCUGCAGUUGCCACUGGCUCGUCUGGUGGCUAAUCGAGGAUGGGCCUUUGCCAUUGCUGCCCCGAGGCUUUGGAACGUGCUCCCUGCUGAAAUAAGAGCCUCUUACACCUUUUAAAAAGGCAGUCAAGACACAUUUGUUUAUCCAGGCUUUUAAUUAGUUACUGUUUUAAUAGUUUGAUGAUUUAAAUAGUUUUAAUGUUGUUUUAAGUUUUAAAUUGUUGUAAUGUUUUAACCUUUUUACUUCUUGU